AUGAGUCAAGUAGUGAGCUCGAGUCCAUUCAGUUCAGUUUUGCUGCCAAAUGAACUUACUUCAAAUUUAUAUUUUUUAAAAAUUCUGCUUAGAUUUCCAGGGCACUUUGAAUUUGGGGAUUGUGGACCAUGGACCGUGGAAUUCGAUGUGGAAGACUCCUUCCUGGAAUAUGGGCAGGCUCAUGAGUGUAGCACUGGUCAAUGAAAUGUGAGUGGAUGUGGCUUAUGUAUCCAAUUCUGGGCUUAGACAGUUAAAAGCCCAGACACGAUUCUUCAGUUUCUUUUCCUGUGUCACAGAAACCAAGAAAUUCAUAUGUUUUGCAAGCUGCAGUUAUAAGGUCAGGGUGAGGGGGGCCCAUGUGGGCCUGGGCUCUUGAGUGACUGUGGAGCAGAGCUGCACUGACUCUUAUCCAUUGGUAGCACAAGUGAAAAAUAAACUUCUGUGGUGUGAAGUCACUGAGAUUCAGGAGUGGUUACCAAAGCAGAGCCGAGCUCAGUGGCUCUCAGUCUGGACCCAGGUGAGUAUCUGAGGAUGCUUUACAGAUGCAAACCCUCAGCCUUCACCCUAGGCAAGCUGAAUCAGAGGCUGAGUGUGGGGCCAGCAAUCUGGGUUUUAACAACUCCCCCAGGUAAUUCUGAUCUAGCUCAGGCUUGAGAACCACAGCUGUAAUUGAUCUUGAAUGAAACAGGUGCCAGAAGCCUCAGGUGAGAUCCCACUCUCCAGUUACACAGGGAGCUUGCCCCAGACGCCACCAGUGUUUGGGAUGAUCCAUUCUGCUUUACUUCUUUCCUUUGUAGAGAUAUUUAAGCACUAAACACCUGAGAAUAUUUAACUACAAAUACACUGAUGUGGUUUGGCUGUGUCCCCACCCCAAUGUCAUCUUGAAUUGUAGCUCCCACAAUUCCCAUGUGUUGUGGGAGAAACCUGGUGGGAAAUAAUUGAAUCAUUGGGGCGCUUUCCCCCAGACUGUUCUCAUUGUGGUGAAUAAGUCUCACGAGAUCUGAUGGUUUCAUAAGGGGAAACCCCUUUCGUUUGACUCUCAUUCUUUUUUUGCCUGCCACCACCGAGGACGUACCUUUGGUCUUCCCUCGUCUCCCACCAUGAUGGUGAGGCCUCCACAGCCCUGCUGAACUGUGAGUCAGUUAAACGUCUUUGUUUUGUAAAUUCCCCAGUCUCGAGUAUGUCUUUAUCAGCAGCGUGAAAACGGACUAAUACAUAUACUAAGGCCCAAGCUACUUACCCAAAGUUAAGAAAUCACCCGGAAAUAAGUUCCGUUGUAGCUUUAAGAUGGUGAAUGCUUUCUAGAUCUUCCUGGGUAUGACUGAAACCAUCAGGUUCUUUGUGCUCUUUCUCAUUCUUUGCUUGAGAGCCCCUCUCUGAAGCAGAGAAGAGCUUGAUGAUCCCUAUUUCACAGAGGAGGGAAGGUAUUUAUCCACAGUCUGGAGACACAGCUUUGCCUUGUAUACACAGCCCUAAUGCUGUGCCUCACGCAAGCAGUAUUCAGUAAAGGGCUGAAGAAAAAUGAUACAAAGACAUUUGCUGGCCUCACACAUUGCUUAAUUGUCUGAGCUUAGCUGGGUCUCAGUCGGGUGCUCAUCGCUGUGCCCGGGCGGGUGCCCCCAGAACUGAGGUUGAGGGCGGAGGCACAGCUAAGGGUAGACACGGGAAGGACAAAGCAAAGGACUGGGAAGGAACAAUCGGAUCCAGCCCUCUCUGAGCUUUUGCAAGGCAGAGCCGUCCCAGAGAAGUGAGAGCCUGUGGUCAGCAGGGGGCAGUGUUGUUCUAACAAAUACUUCAAUAAUGGCUUGUGAGAAGGCGGCCCGCGCACCUGAGCUUUGACAGUACUGAUGGAAUUGAAUUGAUGGAGGCCAGAGGGUCUGGUCCAUUUAAAAAACAAAAACAAAUACUGGGCAUUUUCUGUAUAAUUCCUUCAAUUUUUCUUGCUGCAAAAUAUUAUAAUAAAAUUUUGGAAGAAAAAAGAGGAUGGAGCCUUAGGCUGUGCCUGUCUCAGUCCUGCGGCUGGGGGGUGGUGCACCCAUCCGGGUCUGGACCGUAGCCCCUGGGGGCAGUGCUGUGGGUCAUCACGGAGCGUCUUAUUCUUGAUACUCAUCGUAUUCUCCCUGUCCAGAGGUGUGCCCCUGCCCGCUCUCUUCUUUGCUUGCUCCCCUUUCUUCUCUGCUAUUUCUCCCUCUUCCUGUCUCCCUCAUACUCUCUCCUCUCCCUAUCUAAGUGUGAGUCAAGUGGAUGGCUCAUGAGUCAGCGGGACCGUACUUCGUGUAUGAGGGGGUAGGUGCGAAAGACACCACAGAUACAGUCCCUUCAGAGUUUAUAGUCUUGGGAAGACAAACCCACAGAGGCAGAACUUAGAGAAGGCAGGCAGGAAAACACUGAAAUCAUGUUCUCUGGGCCAUAGGACACACGCAAGUUCGAAUCUCGGAUUCAAACCUUGGCAAAGGCUCUCUGGUUGUUCAGGACUUCCUCAUCAUGAGCUUUCUGGAAGGCACUUCUUCCAUGUCCAAACAUCCUGCGGGGUUUGCCGAGAUAGAGUCCAUUCCUGUACCCAAGAGACAAAGUGGCGGAUUUCUUGAUUUGGC
Callithrix jacchus (white-tufted-ear marmoset) is the source of this 2594-nucleotide long non-coding RNA. The record is from Ensembl. NCBI's taxonomy places the organism in Eukaryota, Metazoa, Chordata, Mammalia, Primates, Cebidae.